CGCGAAUCAGCAUGUCGCGGUGAAUACGUUCCCGGGCCUUGUACACACCGCCCGUCACACCAUGAGAGUUGGCAAUACCCAACGUACGUGAUCUAACCCGCAAGGGAGGAAGCGUCCUAAGGUAGGGUCAGCGAUUGGGGUGAAGUCGUAACAAGGUACC
Molecule: ribosomal RNA, 160 nt
Filed under: uncultured bacterium
Lineage: Bacteria
Description: partial 16S ribosomal RNA
Rfam family: Bacterial small subunit ribosomal RNA
Source: RNAcentral